Molecule: ribosomal RNA, 373 nt
Filed under: uncultured organism
Description: partial 16S ribosomal RNA
Rfam family: Bacterial small subunit ribosomal RNA
Source: RNAcentral
GUAGGUGGCAUGCGUUGUCCGGAAUUAUUGGGCGUAAAGCGCGCGCAGGUGGUUCUUUAAGUCUGAUGUGAAAGCCCCCGGCUCAACCGGGGAGGGUCAUUGGAAACUGGGGAACUUGAGUGCAGGAGAGGAAAGUGGAAUUCCACGUGUAGCGGUGAAAUGCGUAGAUAUGUGGAGGAACACCAGUGGCGAAGGCGACUUUCUGGCCUGGAACUGACACUGAGGCGCGAAAGCGUGGGGAGCAAACAGGGAUUAGAUACCCUGGUAGUCCACGCCGUAAACGAUGAGUGCUAAGUGUUGGGGGGGUUUCCCGCCCCUCAGUGCUGCAGCUACCGCAUUAAGCACUUCGCCUGGGGAUACGGUCGCAAGACUG